Molecule: RNA transcript, 343 nt
Organism: Galeopterus variegatus (Sunda flying lemur)
Lineage: Eukaryota; Metazoa; Chordata; Mammalia; Dermoptera; Cynocephalidae
Gene name: small nuclear ribonucleoprotein E pseudogene
Exons: 1
Source: RefSeq, a predicted model, not a curated record
GAGUCAGGGUGGUCUUUGUGAGAUUCCACCAUGGCGUACCGUGGCCAGGGCCAGAAAGUGCAGAAAGUGAUGGUACAACCGAUCAAGCUCAUCUUCAGAUACCUGCAAAAUAGAUCCUGGAUUCGGGUGUGGCUCUAUGAGCAAGUGAAUAUGCGGAUAGAGGGCUGUAUUAUUGGUUUUGAUGAGUAUAUGAACCUUGUAUUACAUGAUGCAGAAGAGAUUCAUUCUAAAACAAAGUCAAGAAAACAACUGGGUCAAAUCAUGUUAAAAGGAGAUAAUAUUACUCUGCUACAAAGUGUUUCCAACUAGAAGUGAUCAAUGAAGUGAAAACUGUUGAGAAGGC